GUCUAUGGCCAUACCACCCUGAACACGCCCGAUCUCGUCUGAUCUCGGAAGCUAAGCAGGGUCGGGCCUGGUUAGUACUUGGAUGGGAGAACUCCAAGAUUCAGGGAUGUCUCUGUUC
Molecule: ribosomal RNA, 118 nt
Filed under: Neogale vison (American mink)
Lineage: Eukaryota; Metazoa; Chordata; Mammalia; Carnivora; Mustelidae
Source: RNAcentral